Molecule: long non-coding RNA, 415 nt
Filed under: Homo sapiens (human)
Lineage: Eukaryota; Metazoa; Chordata; Mammalia; Primates; Hominidae
Description: LHRI_LNC313.1
Source: RNAcentral
CCGUGGCCCAGGGCUGGACUUUACGUAAAGCACGCACCUGGGGCGUGAGAGCCGGGUUUAUUAUUAAUUCGCGGCUAAGCUACAACCGGGAUGAUUUAAGUGGAUUUAUCCGCAGGGAAGAUGAUGGGAGGGCAUUCCCAGCAGGGAGAAUCGUGGUUUGAGGAGUUGCACUGUGGAUGUUUGGGGCCAGACCAUCCUCUGGGGCGGGGCUGUCUUGGGCACUGUUGGGUGCUGUGCAGAGUUCAUGGCCUCCACCCACUCCGUGUCAGGAGCACCCCCCAGUGGUGACAACCGUAAAUGUCCCCAGACCUGGCCAAAUGUCUCUUGCGGGCAGAAUCUCCCCUAUAAUAUAGCCAGAGGCAUAUGCAAAGCACCUAAACGGAGUGGGGAGAAGGUGCGUGACCCCUGGUCUGGG